GCCUGGCUAGCUCAAUCGGUAGAGCAUUUGACUCUUAAUCAAAAGGUUGCGGGUUCGAGCCCCGCGUUGGGCU
This 73-nucleotide transfer RNA is filed under the name Candida tropicalis. RNAcentral's name for it is "tRNA-Lys (CTT) (tRNA-Lys-CTT-1 1 to 5)". It matches the Rfam family "tRNA". Rfam says of the family: Transfer RNA (tRNA) molecules are approximately 80 nucleotides in length. Their secondary structure includes four short double-helical elements and three loops (D, anti-codon, and T loops). Lineage: Eukaryota; Fungi; Ascomycota; Pichiomycetes; Serinales; Debaryomycetaceae. RNAcentral also lists the same sequence under 18 other names. The record is from RNAcentral.